GGCACAACAGACAGACAUGGUGUCCAACGAUGCAAAGCAUCAGGGCUGAAACGGGAAUGAGGAAUGGUGGACCCAAUUGCGGCACCGAGACCUCGACCGCCCCCGCGACUGUGAGCGGCGAGCGGUUUUUCAUCACCCACUGGUGGCUGGUCUGGCCACUGGGAAGGGGAAAAGCUGCUGAGACCUGCGAGUCAGGAGACCGGCCAUGUAUGGGACGCAAUU
This 222-nucleotide non-coding RNA is filed under the name Phaeobacter sp. CECT 5382. RNAcentral also lists the same sequence under 1 other name. Lineage: Bacteria; Pseudomonadati; Pseudomonadota; Alphaproteobacteria; Rhodobacterales; Roseobacteraceae. The record is from RNAcentral.